This 504-nucleotide ribosomal RNA is filed under the name uncultured fungus. Its description in RNAcentral is "SSU rRNA". It matches the Rfam family "Eukaryotic small subunit ribosomal RNA", at positions 248 to 755 of the family's 1831-position model. The record is from RNAcentral. Lineage: Eukaryota; Fungi.
GAUUCAUGAUAACUCCUCGAAUCGCAUGGCCUUGUGCCGGCGAUGGUUCAUUCAAAUUUCUUCCCUAUCAACUUUCGAUGUUUGGGUAUUGGCCAAACAUGGUUGCAACGGGUAACGGAGGGUUAGGGCUCGACCCCGGAGAAGGAGCCUGAGAAACGGCUACUACAUCCAAGGAAGGCAGCAGGCGCGCAAAUUACCCAAUCCCGACACGGGGAGGUAGUGACAAUAAAUACUGAUACAGGGCUCUUUUGGGUCUUGUAAUUGGAAUGAGUACAAUUUAAAUCCCUUAACGAGGAACAAUUGGAGGGCAAGUCUGGUGCCAGCAGCCGCGGUAAUUCCAGCUCCAAUAGCGUAUAUUAAAGUUGUUGUGGUUAAAAAGCUCGUAGUUGAACCUUGGGCCUGGCUGGCCGGUCCGCCUCACCGCGUGUACUGGUCCGGCCGGGCCUUUACUUCUGGAGAACCUCAUGCCCUUCACUGGGUGUGUUGGGGAACCAGGACUUUUAC